GUGUCAGCAGCCGCGGUAAUACGGAGGGUGUAAACGUUGUUCGGAAUCAUUGGGCGUAAAGCGCACGCAGGCUGCGUGUCAGGUCGGGUGUGAAAGCCCGGGGCUCAACCCCGGAAUUGCGCUCGAAACCGGCACGCUAGAAUCCAGCAGAGGAAGGUAGAAUUCCUGGUGUAGGGGUGAAAUCCGUAGAUAUCAGGGGGAAUACCAAGGGCGAAGGCAGCCUUCUGGGCUUGGAUUGACGCUGAGGUGCGAAAGCGCGGGUAGCAAACAGGAUUAGAUACCCUGGUAGUCCGCGCCGUAAACGAUGUUCACUCGAUGUUGGUGGAAUGAGCCCCAUCAGUGUCCAAGCUAACGCGAUAAGUGAACCGCCUGGGGAGUACGGCCGCAAGGUUAAA
This 395-nucleotide ribosomal RNA is filed under the name uncultured bacterium. RNAcentral describes it as "bacterial SSU rRNA". It matches the Rfam family "Bacterial small subunit ribosomal RNA", at positions 505 to 898 of the family's 1533-position model. The record is from RNAcentral.